UACGUAGGGGGCAAGCGUUUGUCCGGAUUUAUUGGGCGUAAAGAGCGUGUAGGCGGUUUGGUAGGUCCGCUGUGAAAACUCGAGGCUCAACCUCGAGACGCCGGUGGAAACCAUCAGACUAGAGUCCGGAAGAGGAGAGUGGAAUUCCUGGUGUAGCGGUGGAAUGCGCAGAUAUCAGGAGGAACACCAAUAGCGAAGGCAGCUCGCUGGGACGUUUACUGACACUGAGGCGCGGAAAGCGUGGGGAGCGAACAGG
RNAcentral lists this ribosomal RNA (256 nucleotides) under uncultured bacterium. RNAcentral's name for it is "partial 16S ribosomal RNA". It matches the Rfam family "Bacterial small subunit ribosomal RNA", at positions 524 to 776 of the family's 1533-position model. The record is from RNAcentral.